This 546-nucleotide ribosomal RNA is filed under the name Aspergillus flavus. Its description in RNAcentral is "eukaryotic LSU rRNA". The stretch from base 163 to 316 matches the Rfam family "5.8S ribosomal RNA". Lineage: Eukaryota; Fungi; Ascomycota; Eurotiomycetes; Eurotiales; Aspergillaceae. The record is from RNAcentral.
GAGCCCAACCUCCCACCCGUGUUUACUGUACCUUAGUUGCUUCGGCGGGCCCGCCAUUCAUGGCCGCCGGGGGCUCUCAGCCCCGGGCCCGCGCCCGCCGGAGACACCACGAACUCUGUCUGAUCUAGUGAAGUCUGAGUUGAUUGUAUCGCAAUCAGUUAAAACUUUCAACAAUGGAUCUCUUGGUUCCGGCAUCGAUGAAGAACGCAGCGAAAUGCGAUAACUAGUGUGAAUUGCAGAAUUCCGUGAAUCAUCGAGUCUUUGAACGCACAUUGCGCCCCCUGGUAUUCCGGGGGGCAUGCCUGUCCGAGCGUCAUUGCUGCCCAUCAAGCACGGCUUGUGUGUUGGGUCGUCGUCCCCUCUCCGGGGGGGACGGGCCCCAAAGGCAGCGGCGGCACCGCGUCCGAUCCUCGAGCGUAUGGGGCUUUGUCACCCGCUCUGUAGGCCCGGCCGGCGCUUGCCGAACGCAAAUCAAUCUUUUCCAGGUUGACCUCGGAUCAGGUAGGGAUACCCGCUGAACUUAAGCAUAUCAAUAAGCGGAGGAAA